GACAGAGGGUGCAAACGUUGUUCGGAUUUACUGGGCGUAAAGCGCGUGUAGGCGGCUUUGCAAGUCGGAUGUGAAAGCCCACGGCUCAACCGUGGAAGUGCAUCCGAAACUGCAUGGCUUGAGUCUCGGAGAGGAAGGUGGAAUGCUUGGUGUAGAGGUGAAAUUCGUAGAUAUCAAGCAGAACACCUGCGGCGAAGGCGGGUUGCUUGUCUGACACUGACGCUGAGGCGCGAAAGCCAGGGGAGCAAACGGG
Molecule: ribosomal RNA, 253 nt
Filed under: uncultured bacterium
Lineage: Bacteria
Description: partial 16S ribosomal RNA
Rfam family: Bacterial small subunit ribosomal RNA
Source: RNAcentral